Molecule: unclassified non-coding RNA, 243 nt
Filed under: uncultured fungus
Lineage: Eukaryota; Fungi
Description: partial contains small subunit ribosomal RNA, internal transcribed spacer 1, and 5.8S ribosomal RNA
Rfam family: Eukaryotic small subunit ribosomal RNA (bases 1-73)
Source: RNAcentral
ACAAACUUGGUCAUUUAGAGGAAGUAAAAGUCGUAACAAGGUCUCCGUAGGUGAACCUGCGGAGGGAUCAUUAUUGAAUACAUAUUCAAACCUUUCAAACCCUGUGGAUAUAUCAAAAUGUGUUUCGGCGCUUCGGCGUCGUAUUUAUGCUAUAUCACGUAUAUUUGAAGUCUAAAUUAUAAAUAAAAAUUAAAAACUUUCAACAAAGGAUCUCUUGGCUCUUGCAUCGAUGAAGAACGCAGC